Molecule: long non-coding RNA, 568 nt
Filed under: Solanum tuberosum (potato)
Lineage: Eukaryota; Viridiplantae; Streptophyta; Magnoliopsida; Solanales; Solanaceae
Description: long non-coding RNA (STUB_LNC010156)
Source: RNAcentral
CCGAUAGUUGUCCCGAGUCCUAAUUGUUGUAUUUUCGAAGUUGGUUUGGAGGAAAAUUGAUGAAAAAUUGAGUUUUUGGAAAGUUGAGUUUUUAAGAGUUAAAGUUUGGUUAAAAGUGCUAUUUCGAGUCAUUUGGAGUUUCGAGACUCGAAUCGGAUUUCUGUCGAUUCCAGCAGUUUUAGAAUGUCAAAACGGGUCUAUGAGAAUUUACGGAGUCGAAUUUGGAGUUAAAACGAAGAUUUGAGGUCCUAAGUUGCUAAAAUUGUGAAAUUUUGAUCAAGAGUUGACUUUGGUCAACAAACGAGGUUCCGGUGCUCGAAAUGAAAUUCCGAGGGCACCGUUGGAUUCAGGGGGUGAUUCUAAGUCUAGAAUGAGUCUUGGUUGAAUUUUAGAGGCCACGAGUGCGUUUUGAGUUUUUGAGCCUAAAGUUAGUUUCUUGACGCCUUAUCGGAUACCGGGUCAAGGAGACCUCGAAUUCAAAUUCCGACGAUUUCAUUGAGUCCGAAAUGUCAUUUUCAAGCUAGUAGCAUAUUUGGUUUGUGUUCGGGAAGUGCCAAAUGAGUUUUGG